GUGGUCUGCUUGAGCUCCCACCAACGUCCUGCUUCCCCUACUAACAUGUAGGAAGCAAGGGCAGCUCUCUGCUCAGGAACUACUCCCAAGGUCCUGAAAGCUCUCUCAGUCUCCGCCAGCCAGUACUGGGCCUCUUCAAAAGAGGAUCCCCCUGCAAAGGUGGAGGGGUUCAGUCUCCUGUACCUCUCUAUGUAGCCUGGGUUGAUCAAGGAAGGAGCGGGGUCCCGUGGAGGAGGGACUGGACCCAGCUGGGGAUAGACUGGGGGGUCCUGUGGUGGCACCUACUGAUAUGAUGGGGGCACUGGGUUGUGC
This 312-nucleotide long non-coding RNA is filed under the name Carica papaya (papaya). RNAcentral's name for it is "long non-coding RNA (CPAP_LNC013402)". Lineage: Eukaryota; Viridiplantae; Streptophyta; Magnoliopsida; Brassicales; Caricaceae. The record is from RNAcentral.